Molecule: long non-coding RNA, 3039 nt
Organism: Musa acuminata AAA Group (dessert banana)
Lineage: Eukaryota; Viridiplantae; Streptophyta; Magnoliopsida; Zingiberales; Musaceae
Exons: 3
Source: RefSeq, a predicted model, not a curated record
GCUGAUCGACGGAUCUCGUUGAGUUCCUCGCAAUUCCGCCUUGGUUUCUCUUUUCUUUCUGGCUGAUUCUCUUGUCCUACAUUGUAUUUUGAUUCUUUCCUGUUGUAGACCCCUUUGGCUCAACUCGAUGAUCGAUCGAUGGUGCAGAUGUGCUUGCUGUAUUUGGUUCUGUUCUCUGUUCUUCUUUUGGAUCUCUAGCGUUGCAGAUCACCGGGAGAUGAUCUUCCGCUUGCAAACCAGAUAGCUGGCAAGACCAUGGAGGUCUCUGGCGCUCUUCGUCGUCUCGGUUUGUUUCAACUCCAAGCUGCCUGAGGCGGUAACGAGGAUGUGUAUGUUCGAUACCGGUCGACUUUCUUCUCUGGCGAAGUAGGUUCGCGGCCAAAGGCCUAUAUCCUAUUUCUUGCUUUCUUCCAUGGAAGAUCGGAUGUGGUGCUGAUCUUAUCCAAGGACGCGUCCGAGAAAGGAAGUCAUGAAGCAAAUAGUGUUCGAUGACCAUUAGAUUAAGUGCAACGAAACUGGACUGGGGAUCUUGAUGGAUGGGGGAAGGUAAUUUGGACCUAUACAUGUUCUAUAGACCUUUGCCAUGUUGGGUGCGCUCGCAUGGCAGGUCGCUCAUCGUUAAUAAAAUUUUCCUUUUCUUGUGUGGGAGGAGAGAUCGCACGGGGGUAAUUAUUUUCAGCCCCGGGUUCUCUCCUCGUGUGCUGUUUCUUUCCUCUCUGGCAUUUCCAUCUAUCUACCGAUCACACUCCUGUAGUUUCCAUCGCCGUUUAAACCUCAUGACCACAUGGGAUGCAAGCUUCGUGGCCAUUUCUCCAAAUCAGUGAGGUAUAGAUAGUCUUCCCCUUUGUUCUUCGCAAAUCAGAUUAAAUGUCAAAUUCUUUACUACUAAUUUCGUGCACCUAUAACUGCUACAAAUUCUGAUUAUCGGAUAUCAUUUCAAUUUAUUAUAUGCCAAUUUUCCAUUGGAAUCAAUUUUGCAAUUUAUUUGUGCUAUCUUAUAGUUGUCAUCGGCUACAUUCUCUAAGAUGAUACUGAUACUGAAGGAUGAUUCUCAUUUAGGGAAAUGCCUGUAAAUAUGUUGAUAUAGUAUAUGCAUCUAUAUAUGCAAGCUUCAAAUAAUUUAACUGCCUAUUAUUUCUGCCACAAUUAUUUACUCAUUUGUUUCUCCUUCAGGGCAACCACAAAGAACAAAAAAACAUUGAUGCUUACUAAGGUUGCAUGAUAUUAUUAUUUUCACAAAAUUUACAUGUUACGGCGGUGACCAUUAUGAGGUUUUCAAUCUUGUGAUGUGUGGAAUCUGGUGGUUAAAUUUUCAUUGUUAUGUUGUUGUUAUAUCGUGAUAUUUCUCUUAUGCUGUCAAAGUGAAUAAUUGAAUCAACUAUGAUCGAGUGUUGUACCAUGCCCCAGAUCUGUCCGUGAUUUGGACAUACACUAUGUACGUGCUCAGCCUGCUUUUAAAAUCUGAGUGAACGAUGGUAUCACGGCAUCGUCUUGAAAUUUCUUCCUUGGGACUUUUUGACUUGGUUACAACUACUCUUAAGUCUGUCUUUCUUCUUUUUUAUGGUUCUAUUUAUUCGGUGAGGCUGUCAUGUGAUUGGUUCAAAAAUAUGCCAAAGCCUCUUUUAAACUAGUUGCUGCAGAAUUAGUAGCGGUAUAAUUUCCGUGACGUACCCAUGCCGUACUCCUGAUCUUUUGCUGUUGAUGUGGAUGUUGGGAAGCCUUUGCCGAGGCAGCAGCUCACUGCUCCCUGUGCCCUGCCGUGAAGGCGGAGUGCGAGGUCGGAAUCUGUCUCCCUAAGCUUUAGUUGACAAGGUAAUGAAUGGUUUGUACUUUCAUAAUAUAGCUCCACUAGUUUCAACUAGUAUCAUUAUUAUUAGAAAUUCGUCCUCUCAUUUUGUGAAAGACUUUUUUGCAACUGAAAUUUCUUUUUCUUUUUUUUAGAUUCUUUAGAGUAUCUGUUCGUUAUUUGACCAGAUAAUGCUGAAUUGAAUACAGAUAUUGUUAAUUGUAGAGUAAAUAUUCUUUGAUUUAAAACUUAGGAUGUUCAAUUCCAUUUCGAAUUUUGUAUAAUUUGUCAUGUGGUGGCAGCUGAAGCUGCUGCGGGGUGUGCGAACCAGGAAGCAACCAAAAGACUUAUGGCGUGAAAUAUCAUCCACGUUUGAGUGGUAAAUAUUUGAUCAUAAAUGGUAAAAAGUAUAUCAUCAUGACCAUUAUCAAAUUUUCGUUGUGGUGUAAGACCUAAUAAAUUUCGUCCUCCGAGUAAUUUCCAGAUUUUGAUUGAAGAGAGCAUCUCUCACUGUCAUAUAUAUAUAUAGACACCUAAUCAGUUUGUGGAUCCUUGAGCUCCAAAAGGCAGGAGCCCUCCGUCAUGUGAGGAUGGCGGUUCGAAUCCGCCAGGAUCCGGACAAUCUUGAUACAGCGGUGGCACUCUUUUCAUUAGAAUAUGGUUGAUGAACUUCCUCGUGCUGUCGGAUGACUGUCCAAAGUCACUUCCAUAAGCCGUGUUUUAAGAUUCAUAAAGAAAAGAGUUUCCAUAACGGCACCCAAUAAUAUUCUACUGUGCUAAAAAAAAAUCAGGAAAUGUGGAUUUUUUUCUUCAGAAUUUGAAAUCGUUGUAUUGUGUACUCAGUAGCUUAAAGUUAUGUGGUUCCGUGUGUAAUAUACACAGAAUAUUUUGAUAGCUCGAGGGCUCAUCUCCAUGAUCUAUCAGGUAGUACUCGUGUUCUUGUUGCAUCCGUAGACAAGCCCGAUAAAGAAACAUUGCUUUCUAAGGUUCUAAUGUUGCUUGGUGGACACGAUCUUUCAGGUUUCUUGCUGUAAAGUGCGUGCAUUACAGAUUGCUGAUGAAGUCAAGCUGCGUCAUUGAAGCAUUUCCCUGUUCGAGCACUCCAUACCGCUGCCAGACACGUCAAAGUCUGGAGGAGCUUCAGAGUAGUUCCCUUUGUUGAGCGAAACACAAGUUGCAAUGUGAAACCACUGUACAAUACUCCAAAAACACCACCAGCAACUGACAAAAUGACACGAGAAAAGAAUCACAGC